ACUCCCAACCCUUGCAAACCGUACCCCGUUCUGUUCUCGUUGCUUCUGGCGGGAGGCGGGAGGGCGCGGGGGGGUGUGGUGGCCUCGGCCGCCUUGCCCCUCCUCCGCCUUCCCCCCCUGGGUCCCCUCGGGGCGCCCGCCAGCGGUCAGCGAGCCGCCCGAACUUUUAUACCAACAGCAAACGUCUUCGUCUGAGCAACAAACAAAAAUAAGCAAAACUUUCAACAACGGAUCUCUUGGCUCUGGCAUCGAUGAAGAACGCAGCGAAAUGCGAUACGUAAUGCGAAUUGCAGAAUUCAGCGAGUCAUCGAAUCUUUGAACGCACAUUGCGCCCGCCAGCAUUCUGGCGGGCAUGCCUGUCCGAGCGUCAUUUCCCCCCUCAGCGCACCCUUUGCGCUGGCGUUGGGGCUCCUCCGCCCCGCUCGUGGGCGGCAGGGCCCUCAAAACCAGUGGCGGGCCCAGCUGGUGGCUCCGAGCGCAGUACCGAACGCAUCGUUCUCCUCUCGCUCUGCAGCUCCGGCCGGCGCCCAGCCGUCAAGCCGCGCGGGCGGUCCUCAGCGUCUUUUCGCCGAGCCGCCUCGCACUUUGUACCAAGGUUGACCUCGGAUCAGGUAGGACUACCCGCUGA
Molecule: small RNA, 628 nt
Filed under: Ophiostoma bicolor
Lineage: Eukaryota; Fungi; Ascomycota; Sordariomycetes; Ophiostomatales; Ophiostomataceae
Description: eukaryotic LSU rRNA
Rfam family: 5.8S ribosomal RNA (bases 217-370)
Source: RNAcentral